This 264-nucleotide ribosomal RNA is filed under the name uncultured Prevotella sp. Its description in RNAcentral is "partial 16S ribosomal RNA". It matches the Rfam family "Bacterial small subunit ribosomal RNA", at positions 92 to 354 of the family's 1533-position model. Lineage: Bacteria; Pseudomonadati; Bacteroidota; Bacteroidia; Bacteroidales; Prevotellaceae. The record is from RNAcentral.
CGACCGGCGCACGGGUGAGUAACGCGUAUCCAACCUUCCCAUUACUGUGGGAUAACCUGCCGAAAGGCAGACUAAUACCGCAUAGUCUUCGAUGACGGCAUCAGAUUUGAAGUAAAGAUUUAUCGGUAAUGGAUGGGGAUGCGUCUGAUUAGCUUGUUGGCGGGGUAACGGCCCACCAAGGCGACGAUCAGUAGGGGUUCUGAGAGGAAGGUCCCCCACAUUGGAACUGAGACACGGUCCAAACUCCUACGGGAGGCAGCAGAA